UACGGGGGGGGGCAAGCGUUGUUCGGAAUUACUGGGCGUAAAGGGUGCGUAGGCGGUCUGUUAAGUUGGAUGUGAAAACUCUGGGCUCAACCCAGAGCCUGCAUCCAAAACUGGCAGGCUAGAGUUCUGGAGGGGGUAGCGGAAUUCCUGGUGUAGCGGUGAAAUGCGUAGAUAUCAGGAGGAACACCGGUGGCGAAGGCGGCUACCUGGACAGAAACUGACGCUGAGGCACGAAAGCUAGGGGAGCAAACAGGAUUAGAUACCCUGGUAGUCCUAGCCCUAAACGAUGGAUACUUGCUGUGACUGGGAUUGAAUCCAGUCGUGGCGAAGCUAACGCAUUAAGUAUCCCGCCUGGGGAGUACGGUCGCAAGGCUGAA
RNAcentral lists this ribosomal RNA (377 nucleotides) under uncultured bacterium. RNAcentral's name for it is "bacterial SSU rRNA". It matches the Rfam family "Bacterial small subunit ribosomal RNA", at positions 524 to 898 of the family's 1533-position model. The record is from RNAcentral.